UACGGAGGGUGCGAGCGUUGUCCGGAAUCAUUGGGCGUAAAGGGCGCGUAGGUGGCCCGGUCAGUCCGUGGUGAAAGCGCGGGGCUCAACCCCGCGUCGGCCAUGGAUACUGCUGGGCUGGAGCACUGUAGAGGCAGGCGGAAUUCCGGGUGUAGCGGUGGAAUGCGUAGAGAUCCGGAAGAACACCGGUGGCGAAAGCGCUCUGCUAGGCCGCAACUGACACUCAUGGACGAAAGCUAGGGGAGCGAAUGGG
RNAcentral lists this ribosomal RNA (253 nucleotides) under uncultured bacterium. Its description in RNAcentral is "partial 16S ribosomal RNA". It matches the Rfam family "Bacterial small subunit ribosomal RNA", at positions 524 to 776 of the family's 1533-position model. The record is from RNAcentral.